Molecule: ribosomal RNA, 493 nt
Filed under: uncultured bacterium
Lineage: Bacteria
Description: bacterial SSU rRNA
Rfam family: Bacterial small subunit ribosomal RNA
Source: RNAcentral
GAUGAACGCUAGCUACAGGCUUAACACAUGCAAGUCGAGGGGAAACGAUAUUGGAAGCUUGCUUCUGAUAGGCGUCGACCGGCGCACGGGUGAGUAACGCGUAUCCAACCUGCCCAUCACUUGGGGAUAACCUUGCGAAAGUAAGACUAAUACCCAAUGACGUCUCUAGAAGACAUCUGAAAGAGAUUAAAGAUUUAUCGGUGUACGAUGGGGAUGCGUUCCAUUAGGUAGUAGGCGGGGUAACGGCCCACCUAGCCUACGAUGGAUAGGGGGUUCUGAGAGGAAGGUCCCCCACAUUGGAACUGAGACACGGUCCAAACUCCUACGGGAGGCAGCAGUGAGGAAUAUUGGUCAAUGGACGAGAGUCUGAACCAGCCAAGUAGCGUGAAGGAUGAAGGUCCUACGGAUUGUAAACUUCUUUUAUAAGGGAAUAAAACCUCCCACGUGUGGGAGCUUGUAUGUACCUUAUGAAUAAGCAUCGGCUAACUCCGUG